Molecule: ribosomal RNA, 235 nt
Filed under: uncultured bacterium
Lineage: Bacteria
Description: partial 16S ribosomal RNA
Rfam family: Bacterial small subunit ribosomal RNA
Source: RNAcentral
CGGACGGGUGAGUAACGCGUGGGUAACCUGCCCUGUACAGGGGGAUAACAGCUGGAAACGGCUGCUAAUACCGCGUAAGCGCACGAGGAGACAUCUCCUUGUGUGAAAAACUCCGGUGGUACAGGAUGGGCUCGCGUCUGAUUAGCUGGUUGGCAGGGUAACGGCCUACCAAGGCAACGAUCAGUAGCCGGUCUGAGAGGAUGAACGGCCACAUUGGAACUGAGACACGGUCCAA